Molecule: non-coding RNA, 570 nt
Organism: Coffea arabica (coffee)
Lineage: Eukaryota; Viridiplantae; Streptophyta; Magnoliopsida; Gentianales; Rubiaceae
Source: RefSeq, a predicted model, not a curated record
AUGAAGAAGAUGACUUCAACAUUUUGACAUGGUGGAAGGUGAAUAGUCCUAGAUUCCCUGUUCUCUCUAAACUAGCUCGUGAUGUGUUGGCUGUGCCGGUAUCCACAGUUGCUUCCGAAGCUGCUUUUAGCACGGGUGGAAGAGUCCUUGAUCCAUUUAGGAGUUCUUUAACUCCUAAAAUAGUGCAAGCUCUGAUUUGCACUCAAGAUUGGCUUCGGCCAUCGGAUUCUAAAUUGAAUGUGGAAGAAGAAUUGGAGGAUCUUGAAGCUUUAGAAUCUGGCUUGACUAAUGGAGGUGCUGAAACUUCAAUCACUCUUUAAAGAUAAUAGAAGUCUGGAACUAAAUUAUGUUGCAGUCAGUUUUCAGAUUUUGAUUUCUGAUUUCUGGUUUCUGCAUUCAGUUCAUUGUGACUUGUGAAAUGUGAACUUGAAAAAUGUCUGUUAGUGUUACUUUGAAGAACUUGUCGUUGUAUUGUCUAUUGGCAGUUGGUACUUGGUACUCCAGAUUUGUAUUUGAUGGAUUUUGGCAUUUGUAAGGUGUGUAAUAAUUUGGAUGUUGAUUUCCUUUGAA